AGUGAACGCUGGCGGUAGGCCUAACACAUGCAAGUCGAACGGCAGCACAGGAGAGCUUGCUCUCUGGGUGGCGAGUGGCGGACGGGUGAGGAAUACAUCGGAAUCUACUUUUUCGUGGGGGAUAACGUAGGGAAACUUACGCUAAUACCGCAUACGACCUACGGGUGAAAGCAGGGGAUCUUCGGACCUUGCGCGAUUGAAUGAGCCGAUGUCGGAUUAGCUAGUUGGCGGGGUAAAGGCCCACCAAGGCGACGAUCCGUAGCUGGUCUGAGAGGAUGAUCAGCCACACUGGAACUGAGACACGGUCCAGACUCCUACGGGAGGCAGCAGUGGGGAAUAUUGGACAAUGGGCGCAAGCCUGAUCCAGCCAUACCGCGUGGGUGAAGAAGGCCUUCGGGUUGUAAAGCCCUUUUGUUGGGGAAGAAAUCCAGCUGGCUAAUACCUGGUUGGGAUGACGGUACCCAAAGAAUAAGCACCGGCUAACUUCGUGCCAGCCGCCGCAGUAA
RNAcentral lists this ribosomal RNA (506 nucleotides) under uncultured bacterium. RNAcentral describes it as "partial 16S ribosomal RNA". It matches the Rfam family "Bacterial small subunit ribosomal RNA", at positions 29 to 523 of the family's 1533-position model. The record is from RNAcentral.